Molecule: long non-coding RNA, 195 nt
Organism: Octopus sinensis (East Asian common octopus)
Lineage: Eukaryota; Metazoa; Mollusca; Cephalopoda; Octopoda; Octopodidae
Exons: 3
Source: RefSeq, a predicted model, not a curated record
CUGAUAUAUUAUAUUUUCUAUAUAUUUUAUACACAUGUAAGGCACCGAAGGGGCUAUGAUUUUGGUGUCCCCAUAAAAGAUUAUGAAAAUCAGAAUAUAAACAAUAACAAACCAUAAAAUGAAUUUUUAUUUUUCAAAGCCAAACAAAACAAUGGCGGUGCUCCAGCAUGGCCACAGUCAAAUGACUGAAACAAG